CAGCAGCCACGGUAAUACAGAGGGUGCAAGCGUUAAUCGGAAUUACUGGGCGUAAAGCGCGCGUAGGUGGUUCGCCAAGUUGGAUGUGAAAUCCCCGGGCUCAACCUGGGAACUGCAUCCAAAACUGGCGAGCUAGAGUAUGGUAGAGGGUGGUGGAAUUUCCUGUGUAGCGGUGAAAUGCGUAGAGAUCGGGAGGAACAUCAGUGGCGAAGGCGGCCAUCUGGGACAACACUGACGCUGAGGCACGAAAGUGUGGGGAGCAAACAGGAUUAGAUACCCGCGUAGUCCCUGUCUCUUAUAC
RNAcentral lists this ribosomal RNA (301 nucleotides) under uncultured bacterium. RNAcentral describes it as "partial 16S ribosomal RNA". It matches the Rfam family "Bacterial small subunit ribosomal RNA", at positions 509 to 807 of the family's 1533-position model. The record is from RNAcentral.